GACAUCUCUAACAAUUGAGCCGGAUCCCGAGUCCCCAUCAAGCCUUAUCGUCACAGCUAACUACUUUCCCAAUAUGAAAUGUCGUAUUCUAAUCACUUCAGCUGUAGUUAGAAAAGACGAUGAUAGUAUUGUAACUGGAUGUGCUGCUGAUAAGGAUUUGUGCAUUUAUGCGCUCGCUUCUAUUCGGAAUACAAAGUGGUAUGAUGUGAGUUUUUUUUAAAUUUUACACAUAUUUUAAAUUACUUUAUCAUUGGAAAAUCUAAUAAAUUAGAGCCCAGUUUACAAAAAAAUCUAUAUUUUUCCAAAAAAAAAAUUGAAAAAAAUCGAUAAUUUCUCAAAAAAUGUUUACAAAAUCGAACUUUUUCCAAAAAACUUUGAAAAAAUCGAUAAUUUUAAAUAACUGCUGACAAUUAAAAAAAAUCGAAAAUUUCUCAAAAAUUGAAAAAAUUAAUAUUUUUCCAGAAAAAAUUGAAAAAAAUCGAUAAUUUCAAAUAAUAGCUGAAGAUUUUUUAAAAAAAUCGAAAAUUCGAACCUUUCUCAAAAAAUUUGAAAAAAAUCGAUUUUUUUUCCAAACUUUUUUUCAUCAAAAAUUUCUCAAAAAUUUGGAAAAAAUUAGAAAAAAUCAAUAUUUUUCCGAAAAAAUUUGAAAAAAAAAUCGAUAAUUUCAAAUAAUAGUUGCAAUUUUUAAUUUAAAAGCGAAUUUUUCAAAGAUUUUUCAAAUUUUUCACGUUUUUUUCUCUGGUUUUUUUAAAUUAAAAAGCGUAAUUUUUACCGAAUUUAUCAUUAAAUUACAUGAAUUUUUCUGAAAGAGCGAGAAAAUUAAAAUAAUUCGGAAAAAAAACAAUUUUUUUCCAAAUUUUCCAAAAAAUCCCACAGAAACCACCAAACUUUACUUUUUUUUUUUAACAAAAAAAAGUUUUAAAAAAUAUCAAUUUCCGGCUUUUUUUCUGCCAAAAACUUUGGAAAAUGUGGGUAAUUUUGGCUUUAAAAGUUUAAAAAUUGAAAAAAUCAGGAAAACUUUUUGAAUUUUCAGAGUCACUGCCAAUACUUGAACUCGUGCCAAUCAGUUAUUCGACUGCUCCGAGAUUUGCGAAAUAAAUAUCCUGAAGUUGCGUGUCUUGAUGAUUAU
This 1129-nucleotide small RNA is filed under the name Caenorhabditis elegans. RNAcentral's name for it is "Unclassified non-coding RNA Y95B8A.19". The record is from RNAcentral. Lineage: Eukaryota; Metazoa; Nematoda; Chromadorea; Rhabditida; Rhabditidae.